This 390-nucleotide ribosomal RNA is filed under the name Cryothecomonas sp. Its description in RNAcentral is "partial small subunit ribosomal RNA". It matches the Rfam family "Eukaryotic small subunit ribosomal RNA", at positions 582 to 975 of the family's 1831-position model. The record is from RNAcentral. Lineage: Eukaryota; Cercozoa; Thecofilosea; Cryomonadida; Protaspidae.
AUUCCAGCUCCAAGAGCGUAUAUUAAAGUUGUUGCAGUUAAAAAGCUCGUAGUUGGAUUUCUGGUACAACGCGCCUGGCCCGCUUUUGUGAGUGCCGGUGCGCGUUUGCCAUCCUUCUAGAAAACGUCUCUACUCGGGCAACUGGGCCGGAUUCGCGAUCUAGAUCUUUUACUUUGAAAAAAUUAGAGUGUUUAAAGCAGGCUAUUGCCUUGAAUACAUUAGCAUGGAAUAAUAAUCUAGGACUUCGGUUCUAUUUUGUUGGCUCUUAGUACUGAAGUAAUGAUUGAUAGGGAUAGUUGGGGGUGCUAGCAUUGGCCGGCCAGAGGUGAAAUUCUUGGAUUCGGUCAAGACUAACUUAUGCGAAAGCAUUCACCAAGGAUGUCUUCAUUA